UAUCGCUCUGGUUUUGCGUACGUUCUACUGACAUAGCACUGCAUUAAGACACACACUAAGGCACGUUUUUGUUGUUAACCUUGAGCCUUUCCAGCCACCCUUGUACGUUUUAUCCGUUGCAAACCCCUUUUGAGCCUUUAACCAUUUUGUUUGUUUUUAAACCACUUGCGUUCCCCUAUGGCCAAAAAAAAAAUUAUAAUAAUCUCUUUUACCCUUGCUCGGCAUGAAUGUUGUGGAUUUUGAAACUGUGUUGAAUUCUAAGUUUGGGGUGGUGAAUCUAAUACAAAAAGGGACAAGCGUGCGAAAAAUUGUUACAAGAAAAGAGAAAAAGAAAAAUAAAGUGGAGGCUUUUUGAAUGCUCCGAAAAUAAAAAGAAGA
This 378-nucleotide long non-coding RNA is filed under the name Lathyrus oleraceus (garden pea). RNAcentral describes it as "Pisum sativum (pea) long non-coding RNA (PSAT_LNC039594)". The record is from RNAcentral. Lineage: Eukaryota; Viridiplantae; Streptophyta; Magnoliopsida; Fabales; Fabaceae.